AGAGUUUGAUCCUGGCUCAGAUUGAACGCUGGCGGCAUGCCUUACACAUGCAAGUCGAACGGUAACGCGGGGGUAACCCUGGCGACGAGUGGCGAACGGGUGAGUAAAGCAUCGGAACGUAUCCUGAAGUGGGGGAUAACCUAGCGAAAGCUAGGCUAAUACCGCAUACGCCCUGAGGGGGAAAGUGGGGGAUCGCAAGACCUCACGCUACUGGAGCGGCCGAUGUCGGAUUAGCUAGUUGGUGAGGUAAAGGCUUACCAAGGCGACGAUCCGUAGCUGGUUUGAGAGAACGACCAGCCACACUGGAACUGAAACACGGUCCAGACUCCUACGGGAGGCAGCAGUGGGGAAUUUUGCGCAAUGGGGGAAACCCUGACGCAGCAACGCCGCGUGGAGGAUGAAGCCCCUUGGGGUGUAAACUCCUUUCGACCAAGACGAUAAUGACGGUACUGGUGGAAGAAGCACCGGCUAACUCUGUGCCAGCAGCCGCGGUAAUACAGAGGGUGCGAGCGUUGUUCGGAAUUAUUGGGCGUAAAGGGUGCGUAGGCGGUGCCACAAGUCACCUGUGAAAUCCCCGGGCUUAACCCGGGGCCUGCAGGCGAAACUGUGGUGCUGGAGUAUGGGAGAGGUGCGUGGAAUUCCCGGUGUAGCGGUGAAAUGCGUAGAUAUCGGGAGGAACACCUGUGGCGAAAGCGGCGCACUGGACCAUAACUGACGCUGAUGCACGAAAGCUAGGGGAGCAAACAGGAUUAGAUACCCUGGUAGUCCUAGCCCUAAACGAUGAUUGCUUGGUGUAGCACGUACCCAAUCCUGCUGUGCCGCAGCUACGCGAUAAGCAAUCCGCCUGGGGAGUACGGUCGCAAGGCUGAAACUCAAAGGAUUGACGGGGCCCGCACAAGCGGUGGAGCAUGUGGUUCAAUUCGACGCAACGCGAGAACCUUACUGGGCU
This 949-nucleotide ribosomal RNA is filed under the name uncultured soil bacterium. Its description in RNAcentral is "bacterial SSU rRNA". It matches the Rfam family "Bacterial small subunit ribosomal RNA", at positions 8 to 980 of the family's 1533-position model. The record is from RNAcentral.